AACGAACGCUGGCGGCAUGCCUAACACAUGCAAGUCGAACGAGACCUUCGGGUCUAGUGGCGCACGGGUGCGUAACGCGUGGGAAUCUUCCCUCAGGUUCGGACUACCUCAGAGACAUUUGAGCUAAUACCGGAUGAUGACGUAAGUCCAAAGAUUUAUCGCCUGAGGAUGAGCCCGCGUAGGAUUAGGUAGUUGGUGAGGUAAAGGCUCACCAAGCCGACGAUCCUUAGCUGGUCUGAGAGGAUGAUCAGCCACACUGGGACUGAGACACGGCCCAGACUCCUACGGGAGGCAGCAGUGGGGAAUAUUGGACAAUGGGCGAAAGCCUGAUCCAGCAAUGCCGCGUGAGUGAUGAAGGCCUUAGGGUUGUAAAGCUCUUUUACCCGGGAUGAUAAUGACAGUACCGGGAGAAUAAGCUCCGGCUAACUCCGUG
RNAcentral lists this ribosomal RNA (433 nucleotides) under uncultured bacterium. Its description in RNAcentral is "partial 16S ribosomal RNA". It matches the Rfam family "Bacterial small subunit ribosomal RNA", at positions 29 to 507 of the family's 1533-position model. The record is from RNAcentral.